This 493-nucleotide ribosomal RNA is filed under the name uncultured bacterium. RNAcentral describes it as "partial 16S ribosomal RNA". It matches the Rfam family "Bacterial small subunit ribosomal RNA", at positions 29 to 507 of the family's 1533-position model. The record is from RNAcentral.
AGUGAACGCUGGCGGUAGGCCUAACACAUGCCAGUCGAACGGCAGCACAGUAAGAGCUUGCUCUUACGGGUGGCGAGUGGCGGACGGGUGAGGAAUACAUCGGAAUCUACUUUUUCGUGGGGGAUAACGUAGGGAAACUUACGCUAAUACCGCAUACGACCUACGGGUGAAAGCAGGGGAUCUUCGGACCUUGCGCGAUUGAAUGAGCCGAUGUCGGAUUAGCUAGUUGGCGGGGUAAAGGCCCACCAAGGCGACGAUCCGUAGCUGGUCUGAGAGGAUGAGCAGCCACACUGGAACUGGGACACGGUCCAGACUCCUACGGGAGGCAGCAGUGGGGAAUAUUGGACAAUGGGCGCAAGACUGAUCCAGCCAUACCGCGUGGGUGAAGAAGGCCUUCGGGUUGUAAAGCCCUUUUGUUGGGGAAAAAAAAGCAGCAGGUUAAUACCCCGCUGUUCUGACGGUACCCAAAGAAUAAGCACCGGCUAACUUCGUG